RNAcentral lists this ribosomal RNA (110 nucleotides) under Neogale vison (American mink). Lineage: Eukaryota; Metazoa; Chordata; Mammalia; Carnivora; Mustelidae. The record is from RNAcentral.
UUAGAAGACAAGCUAACCCCUGAACGCGCCUGAUCUCGUCUGAUCUCGGAAGCUAAGCAGGGUCGGGCCUGGUUAGUACUUGGAUGGGAGAAGACAAGCCAACAUCUGGG